UAACAUGAGAGUUUGAUCCUGGCUCAGGAUGAACGCUGGCGGCGUGCUUAACACAUGCAAGUCGAACGAAGCAAUUUGGCGGAAGUUUUCGGAUGGAAGUUAAAUUGACUGAGUGGCGGACGGGUGAGUAACGCGUGGGUAACCUGCCUCACACUGGGGGACAACAGUUAGAAAUGACUGCUAAUACCGCAUAAGCGCACAGGACCGCAUGGUCUAGUGUGAAAAACUCCGGUGGUGUGAGAUG
RNAcentral lists this ribosomal RNA (244 nucleotides) under Clostridium sp. RNAcentral describes it as "partial 16S ribosomal RNA". It matches the Rfam family "Bacterial small subunit ribosomal RNA", at positions 1 to 227 of the family's 1533-position model. Lineage: Bacteria; Bacillati; Bacillota; Clostridia; Eubacteriales; Clostridiaceae. The record is from RNAcentral.